Gorilla gorilla gorilla (western lowland gorilla) is the source of this 378-nucleotide long non-coding RNA. RefSeq lists it as uncharacterized. The transcript is spliced from 3 exons. Lineage: Eukaryota; Metazoa; Chordata; Mammalia; Primates; Hominidae. The record is from RefSeq and is a predicted model, not a curated record.
AUGGGAGGGAGAGAGGGAGGGAAAGGGUAAAAAAGAAGCUUUGUGUCUCGGUUUACAUGUGAUUUCUGUAAAUAACAAUUGAAUAGACACCCUUCAGCUGGGCUGACUAACUGCUCAUACUCACGCAUGAUGCCUUAGGAGCUGGGACAGAACUUCCACAGGGAUUAGAAGAAACUGUUUCCUAGCAGCAAUUGAUUUUCUUUCAGUUGGAAGGUCACAUGGUCUGACAGUCUCUUUGAAGACAGAAUCUCCCUCUGUUGCCCAGGCUGGAGUGCAGUGGCACUAUCUUGGCUCACUACAACCUCUGCCUCCUGGGUUCAAGCAAUUCUCCGGCCUCAGCCUCUACAGUAGCUGAGAUUACAGGAACCCGCCAUCAUG